Molecule: transfer RNA, 63 nt
Filed under: Rhinophis melanogaster (Gray's earth snake)
Lineage: Eukaryota; Metazoa; Chordata; Lepidosauria; Squamata; Uropeltidae
Description: tRNA-Val
Source: RNAcentral
CAAAAAGUAGCUUACAACAAAGCACUCGAUUUACACUCGAACGACAUUACACAAUCUUUUUGA